AUCAGACUGGGAAAUAGUUUACUGUGCACCACUAUCAGCUACCUUGUCCUUAAACAGCUCUGCCCUGCAAUCCAGAACAUCCUUCAAGACGGACUGAAACCCUAUCAAUUAGACUUGAUUAUUGGACAACGACGCAACGAACUAUGGAACGUCAUAGAGGCCACAGCACGACCAGGCUCAUCUACACGACUGUCUGACAGCUUGGUGUCUUUAGUAAAAAAAUGUUCCCAGUUACCAAGUCGCAUGCGGCUCAGUGUCUUCAUCAUAGAUCUGCUAAAGUAGGUCAAAUGCUGAAUACAUCUGCUAAAAUUUAUGCCACAGUACAGUUAGCUAAUGAAAAUAUUGCUUUUUAGCUUGCAUGCUUUGGAAUUCUGGAUCCAUCAUUUAUACACAUGCGUUGAUGUUGUGAAGGAACACUAUCACCAAUGGGGUUUCUUGGCUCUGGCCCAGGGGUCAACUUAUGGACCAUUGUUCCAAGAGCUGCUUCUUUUGCUGCAGCCACUCUCCCUGCUGCCAUUUGACCUCCAUCUUCCAUCAGAAACUCACCUUCAGAGUAAUGAAAAGCAAAAGAACAGAGCACCCCUGCCUCAACGGCUUCUUGGCCAGUCAGCUCAGAUCCUGCAGAUGAACUCAAUCCAGAAGAAAAGCAGGAGUCCAACAGGUCACAGUGGUGCCUUUAGUAAAAGGGUAACUGACAGAUUUUGGCUCAGUCAGACACCCAUCUCAGAGUGUAGAACACAGAAGAAAGAGGAUGAAGGAACCAGAAUGGAAAACAGUGAGACGUCACAAUCUUCAUCAAGUCCUCUGGAGGACAAACACUUUAGUGAGCUGCAUUGGGCCAGGCUCUUCGGCUCUAGAGUUGGAACACCAGUUGGCCCACAGAAGGCACAACAAAACAGGAGUGGACCUCUGAGAAGUAGGCGGCCCUCGGAAUGGCUGAAGCUUGCUGCAUCCAAAGUGGAUCUGCUUGCGGAGUCAGUAUGGACAGGGAAAUUGCCAGAGGCUCAUCUGAAUGGUAACCGUGACAGCGAUACACCAAAUAAAGAUUAAAUAUUAACUCUAAAGAGGCAGCAAAG
Molecule: long non-coding RNA, 1076 nt
Organism: Cyprinus carpio carpio
Lineage: Eukaryota; Metazoa; Chordata; Actinopteri; Cypriniformes; Cyprinidae
Source: Ensembl